GAUGAACGCUGGCGGCGUGCUUAACACAUGCAAGUCGAACGAUGAAGCCCAGCUUGCUGGGGGGUUUAGUGGCGAACGGGUGAGUAACACGUGAGUAACUUGCCCUUGACUCUGGGUUAAGCCCGGGAAAGUGGGCCUAAUACCCGAUAGGAGCGCCGGUCGCAGGAGGGGUGCUGGGAAGAUUAUGCGGUCAUAGAUGGACUGGUGGCCUAUCAGCUUGUUGGUGAGGAAGUCGUACACCAAGGCCGAGACGGGUCGCGGGCCUGAGAGUGUGACCUGCGACACUGGGACUGAGAGACGGCGCAGACUCCUACGGGAGGCAGCAGUGGGAAAUAUUGUCCAGUGAGCCCACGCCUGAUGAAGCGGUGCUGCGUGUGGGAUGACGGCUUUCUGGUUGUAAACCUCUUUCAGUUGGUAAGAAGCUGAAGUGACGUUACCUGCAGAAGAAGCACCGGCUAACUACGUG
This 466-nucleotide ribosomal RNA is filed under the name uncultured bacterium. RNAcentral describes it as "partial 16S ribosomal RNA". It matches the Rfam family "Bacterial small subunit ribosomal RNA", at positions 28 to 507 of the family's 1533-position model. The record is from RNAcentral.